CUUCUUUGCCAUGCAUUUUGUAGCCCUGAAGCAUUGCCUGGGUCCUGCAGGUCUUGUAGGGAGAAUGGAGAGGAUAUAAGUUUCCACCACAAGAAUAAGAAGCUGUCUGCAACAGUGUCAUCAAAUAAAAAGGCAUAUGGCAUCAAUGCGGCAGCACCAUCUCACAAGAAGGACUACCCAUGGCUGAAUGGCACAUAUAACAUCAUGCGCGCUGUCCGUCUAAACGUGUCGUGAGAGAGCAGAUGCAGAGAACUGGGUAUUCUUGUCAGAGAUAGUCUGAGAAGAAGAAAAGGAA
This 295-nucleotide long non-coding RNA is filed under the name Apteryx owenii (little spotted kiwi). RNAcentral's name for it is "lncRNA (ENSAOWG00000004342.1)". Lineage: Eukaryota; Metazoa; Chordata; Aves; Apterygiformes; Apterygidae. The record is from RNAcentral.